AGAGUUUGAUCAUGGCUCAGAACGAACGCUGGCGGCAGGCUUAACACAUGCAAGUCGAACGCACCUUCGGGUGAGUGGCAGACGGGUGAGUGACGCGUGGGAACGUGCCCUUCAGUUCGGAAUAACCCAGGGAAACUUGGGCUAAUACCGGAUACGUGCGAGAGCAGAAAGAUUUAUCGCUGAAGGAUCGGCCCGCGUCUGAUUAGCUAGUUGGUGGGGUAAUGGCCCACCAAGGCGACGAUCAGUAGCUGGUCUGAGAGGAUGAUCAGCCACAUUGGGACUGAGACACGGCCCAAACUCCUACGGGAGGCAGCAGUGGGGAAUAUUGGACAAUGGGCGCAAGCCUGAUCCAGCCAUGCCGCGUGAGUGAUGAAGGCCUUAGGGUUGUAAAGCUCUUUCGGCGGGGACGAUAAUGACGGUACCCGCAGAAGAAGCCCCGGCUAACUUCGUGCCAGCAGCCGCGGUAAUACGAAGGGGGCUAGCGUUGUUCGGAAUCACUGGGCGUAAAGGGCGCGUAGGCGGCUUGAUAAGUCGGGGGUGAAAGCCUGUGGCUCAACCACAGAAUUGCCUUCGAUACUGUCUGGCUUGAGACCGGAAGAGGUAAGUGGAACUGCGAGUGUAGAGGUGAAAUUCGUAGAUAUUCGCAAGAACACCAGUGGCGAAGGCGCUCUACUGGACGGCAACUGACACUCAGGGACGAAAGCUAGGGGAGCGAAUGGGAUUAGAUACCCCUGUAGUCC
This 740-nucleotide ribosomal RNA is filed under the name uncultured Hyphomicrobiales bacterium. Its description in RNAcentral is "bacterial SSU rRNA". It matches the Rfam family "Bacterial small subunit ribosomal RNA", at positions 8 to 796 of the family's 1533-position model. The record is from RNAcentral. Lineage: Bacteria; Pseudomonadati; Pseudomonadota; Alphaproteobacteria; Hyphomicrobiales.